AUGGAUGCUGGCGUCACCCAGACCCAGAGGCAAAAGGUCACAAGGACAGGAGGGAAUGUGACCCUGCAAUGCACCCAGGACAUGAAGCACAACUACAUGUACUGGUACCGACAAGACCCGAGGCUGGAGCUGCUGCUGAUGCACUACUCUCCUGGUGUUGGUGAUAUUGUCAAAGGCGACAUCCUAUACGGGUACUGUGUCUCCAGAUCAAACACGGAGCACUUCCCCCUCACGCUGGGGUCAGCGGCCCCCUCGCAGACAGCUGUGUACUGCUGUGCCAGCAGUGUCUCCACAGUGGUGCACGGCCAGCUCAGCCCCUCAAAGAAAGGGCUCAGGAGGCCCCAGCAGCCCGCUGACCCUGGGGAACUCGGAGCUGGGAAGACAGGUACUGGGGCCUUUGUUCCUGCUGAGGUCCAGGUCCAAGCCACUCUCAGCUGA
This is a non-coding RNA of Trichechus manatus latirostris (Florida manatee), 438 nucleotides long. NCBI's taxonomy places the organism in Eukaryota, Metazoa, Chordata, Mammalia, Sirenia, Trichechidae. The record is from the annotation of a RefSeq genome assembly.